This 433-nucleotide ribosomal RNA is filed under the name uncultured Gemmatimonas sp. RNAcentral describes it as "bacterial SSU rRNA". It matches the Rfam family "Bacterial small subunit ribosomal RNA", at positions 349 to 782 of the family's 1533-position model. The record is from RNAcentral. Lineage: Bacteria; Pseudomonadati; Gemmatimonadota; Gemmatimonadia; Gemmatimonadales; Gemmatimonadaceae.
CAGCAGUGGGGAAUCUUGCGCAAUGGCCGAAAGGCUGACGCAGCGACGCCGCGUGUGGGAUGAAGCAUUUCGGUGUGUAAACCACUGUUGCCCGGGACGAACAGCUUCUUUCGAGGAGCCUGACGGUACCGGGUGAGGAAGCACCGGCUAACUCCGUGCCAGCAGCCGCGGUAAUACGGAGGGUGCGAGCGUUGUCCGGAAUCACUGGGCGUAAAGGGCGCGUAGGUGGCGCGAGUAGUCAACGGUGAAAGCCCGGGGCUCAACCCCGGGUCGGCCGUCGAUACUCUCGUGCUUGAGCACUGUAGAGGCAGGUGGAAUUCCGGGUGUAGCGGUGGAAUGCGUAGAGAUCCGGAAGAACACCGGUGGCGAAGGCGGCCUGCUGGGCAGUAGCUGACACUGAGGCGCGACAGCGUGGGGAGCAAACGGGAUUAGA